GCUGGGCGUGGUGUCUCACGCCUGUAAUCCCAGCACUUUGGGAGGCCGAGGCGGGUGGAUCACUUGAGGUCAGGAGUUCGAGACCAGCCUGACCAACAUGGUGAAACUCCGUCUCUACUAAAAAUACAAAAAUUAGCUGGACAUGGUGGCAGGCGCCUAUAAUCCCAGCUAUUCGGGUGGAUCACUUGAGGUCAGGAGUUCGAGACCAGCCUGACCAACAUGGUGAAACUCCGUCUCU
Molecule: small RNA, 238 nt
Filed under: Homo sapiens (human)
Lineage: Eukaryota; Metazoa; Chordata; Mammalia; Primates; Hominidae
Description: Metazoan signal recognition particle RNA (ENSG00000237611.2)
Rfam family: Metazoan signal recognition particle RNA (bases 1-117)
Source: RNAcentral